This 71-nucleotide transfer RNA is filed under the name Sphaerodactylus townsendi. RNAcentral describes it as "tRNA-Ala". It matches the Rfam family "tRNA". Rfam says of the family: Transfer RNA (tRNA) molecules are approximately 80 nucleotides in length. Their secondary structure includes four short double-helical elements and three loops (D, anti-codon, and T loops). Further hydrogen bonds mediate the characteristic L-shaped molecular structure. tRNAs have two regions of fundamental functional importance: the anti-codon, which is responsible for specific mRNA codon recognition, and the 3' end, to which the tRNAs corresponding amino acid is attached (by aminoacyl-tRNA synthetases). tRNAs cope with the degeneracy of the genetic code in two manners: having more than one tRNA (with a specific anti-codon) for a particular amino acid; and 'wobble' base-pairing, i.e. permitting non-standard base-pairing at the 3rd anti-codon position. Lineage: Eukaryota; Metazoa; Chordata; Lepidosauria; Squamata; Sphaerodactylidae. The record is from RNAcentral.
GAACCAUGGCUGGGCGGCAGAGCAUCUGCUUUGCAUGCAGGAGGUCCCGGGUUCAAACCCCGGCAUGUUCA